UCAACAGGAUGUCAUUUAGGUGGAUCAGUUUCUAAUUUACUAAUUGAACUGCAGUAGUAUAACUGAAGGCACCUAUAAAAUGUAUUAUGUAUCUAUGAUAGGUAUAGAAAGAACUUUCAUCUAUAGGUCUUCCGACUCGUCUGUCGUCUCAUCACUCAUCUUGUCAUUCAAUUGUGUUCGGUCCUUGCGAAGACGAUGAACCACCAUUUUUGCUAUGCAUAAAUGGAAACGACGCUUGAAAACUUGCUUUGAGAUGACAUCCUUGGAUACGAUGGACAAACACUACUUACAUAUUUGUGGCAAUCAGACGUAUUUUUAUUUCCAUGAAUGCCUCUAAUGAGCUGGUCAAAAAAUUCAUAGGAUACAGGGUGCUAACAGUGGUUUCCAUUAAAUCAUAAUAAAUGUACAGGGAGAAGAUAAAUCAAAUGGCCACGAAACGUGAGGAAGCAGAACCCCAAUCACGCUUGUUUUUCUUGAGCUUGGAAAGGGAUGCAUUUAAACGUAUUAAAUGAACAAGGAGACAGAAAAUAAGAAGAACUCAAAGCCUAGAGAAGUGGAGCCCUUUAAUUUUCCCUCCCCUUGGGCGUGAAAGUGCAAUUUCCAGAAAAUAUAUGCAAUCCGAAUUACACUGAUGCAUAAAAGGAAGGUUGCGGUGCGAUAUGUGGCUUAUUUCACUUAUUUCCGUUCAUCAGCAUCUACUACUAAGAGGCAUUUCUCUUUUGUGAGCACAUGGAAUAAAACUCGAGCACGUAUAGUGAUCGUCUAGAUCGUCUGACAAAUGGGAGAGAAUUAAAGUUCAGGUUGAUGACUACAAUGUUUGGUGGACUACAUUCUUGAUUUGCUGUUUUCGUCUUCACCUUGCAACAUUAUACAGUCAAUUUUCAAGUGAUGAGUGAGAGCAACUGAAGAUUUAUGUGAAUUCCACUGAAAUAAGAAAUUUUCUGCAUUGGAAUUCCUCUUGGAUUUGAUUUGCUUUGCUUUUCACACCUGCAAACUUUGGAACAUUAUGGUCUACAGUUAAUUAAGAUCGACGUUGGAGAAGACAAAGAUGACCCCUUGGUUAAAACAGUUCUCUAUCUUGCAUGCUAUAUGUAAUAGAAUUCAAGUUCAUUUUAUUCAAAUUAGUUUUUUUAUUAUGCAUGUUUUUUUGUAGUUUAUUUAAAUUAGUUUUUA
Molecule: long non-coding RNA, 1173 nt
Filed under: Agrilus planipennis (emerald ash borer)
Lineage: Eukaryota; Metazoa; Arthropoda; Insecta; Coleoptera; Buprestidae
Description: uncharacterized LOC112904694, transcript variant X1
Source: RNAcentral